UUGAUUCUACCUUUCCCCAAUUACUGUAGGUAAAAAGAAAUCGAAGAUUUUGUAAGCAUAACCUAGAUCUAGCACCUCCACUGAUAACAUAAGCUGAAAAACAAAAGAACACCCGCUGCUCAUAUGGGUGAGAAGAACAACACAGCCGCAAGGAGCCCUUUCAGGGCCAUAAGUGGCAAAACCACCAAUCUAGCACCACCACCAAAUGGGUGAGAUAAUAUCCACCGGAAGAGAGCUCCCAGCAGGACAAGAGGUUGUUCGUAAUGGGGACAGUGGAUUUAGGAAGAGAAAGAAGAGAGGAUUUUUUUUUAAAAAAAAAAAAAUUGAAGAAAUGCAAUAAUGUAUCUUUUUUUUUAAUAUGCAAAAAUGUAAGAAAAAAAAGUUCCCUGUAUUGUUUCAAAAAAAUUAAUUGAUCAUCUGUCU
RNAcentral lists this long non-coding RNA (423 nucleotides) under Citrus x clementina. Its description in RNAcentral is "Citrus clementina (C. clementina) long non-coding RNA (CCLE_LNC005268)". The record is from RNAcentral. Lineage: Eukaryota; Viridiplantae; Streptophyta; Magnoliopsida; Sapindales; Rutaceae.